UGCUAAGUGUUAGUGCAGGAUGAAGACCUAUCGUUAGAGUUAUGAAAAACCACAGCAGCACAAGCAGCUAUAAUGAUUUAAGAGAAUAUGACUGCUGCUUUUCUCUCAUCUAAGAGGAUAGAGCUAACUGACAGAGAAAUGGAAGAUAAGAUUUGCCUGUCCUGACCCAGUCUAAAAAGUAGAAGUAACAUAGAAAGAGCAACAACAGGGGGAAGCUAAAGAGAUCAUGAUAAGAAUCUUGUAAGACUUGGGAAAAGAAGUACUAAUUCAGAGGUCCUCAUGGCAGAAUUUUACAGAGGCAUGAACCUUCAGAGCCCUGAGCUGCCUUGUAAGAAGUCUAGCUAGCAAUGCCACCAUGCUGGAGAGAUGAUGAGGGAAAACUACAUACAGACACAAACAGAGUGAGACACUCAAGAAGCCCUAGUUGUGGAAUACAGCAGUGCUAUGGAGGCUUGACAUAACCAUCUACUUUUCCAGAAACCCA
This 484-nucleotide long non-coding RNA is filed under the name Homo sapiens (human). Its description in RNAcentral is "HSALNT0153316". Lineage: Eukaryota; Metazoa; Chordata; Mammalia; Primates; Hominidae. The record is from RNAcentral.